Podarcis lilfordi (Lilford's wall lizard) is the source of this 11870-nucleotide non-coding RNA. NCBI's taxonomy places the organism in Eukaryota, Metazoa, Chordata, Lepidosauria, Squamata, Lacertidae. The record is from the annotation of a GenBank genome assembly.
CAGGAGGACAGAGGAAUAUAAGGAAAUCACAACUCAUUUUAACUGUGUGCUGAGCAAGCCUUUUCCUUUACAAGGGAGACAUAGCAUUUGAAGAAGGGUGUCUCCUUUCCACCCAGGUUGAGAGGCCAUCAGUUCUCCAAACACAAUCUUAAUACCUCUCCCAUCUCUCUUUUUCUGCUACAGAAGUUAUUCUCCCCCCACUAGUGUAGGAGGAAGAUGAGAUGGACAGAUAUGGAGACAUCUCAGACAGUAUCCUAGAAAUUAGCAGAAUACCUUUCAUGAUGCUGGGAACGGAUGAAGGACAGAGGGAAUAUGCCAUGGGCCAGGAGUCAGCUUUGUCUGGUGAACAGCAGCCUGAGGGGGGAGAAAGCGGAGUGACUCCAUGUGCAGCUGAUCAGCCUUCAGGGAUUCAGAGGAGAAGGUGCUGAUGAGAACCAACUAGCUUCUUAAGCAGGGCUUCCAGCCUCACUCAGAUGCUGGCAACAACACUUGUUGUUUCUGGCCGAACUUUGCUGUUUCUUGCUCCUCUUGACCUUUGAAAAUCGGAUUCCCUGGACCCUCUGACAAUGUGAAUUGCUGGUUGCUUGACCCUAGGACUCGACCUGACUUUGGAUACGAAUUCUGCCUACAGGCAAGUGCACCUCUGAAAGCAUGGACAUAGCCAGGAUUUAUUUUAGAGGGGCAGAACCAAGUUAUCUGUGACACAAUUGGUCAGUUACAUUUAAGUAUUUUUAUUUAUUUACUUGAUUUGGGGGGGGCAGCUGCCCCCUCUGCCCACGUCUGAGGCUGUCGAUUGGCUGGCCUCCCUCUCCCCUGAGCUCACUCAUUGCUCAACACAAGACUGCGACAAAAGAUCACUAUUUUGCAGAGCUGUUAAUAGAAACUAGACCACUUAGCAUUAGGGUGGCAGGAUGGUGGGGGAGGAGUGAAUUUAAUCAGAAUUUAAUCAGAGCUACUAGUAACUGAGCCCAAUUUUAUGUUAAUAGUUUUGCUUUGAUUCCAUUUUUUGGACUAGACUGUGAUAGAGGGAACAAGGAAAUCAAAACAUGACUAGAGAAAUAAACUCCAAGGCAUUCCAUGUGCAGGAGAAAAUAUAGAGCUCUAGUCCUCUUUCACAGAUGUUUUACAGAUGUUUUACAACUUGUUCUUAUCCCAAAACUCACUCUCCCACAGCUCAGUGUUGCUGAUAUGCUGUUUCAUUUUGGUAGUAAUGGAAAGCUGGCAUGCAUUUAGUAUUUAGUGUUUUACUAUAUUUGAUAUUCACCAUGCAAUGUUGUUUAUUAUCUUACAUCAUAAGGCUUUAUUGCAUGAUGGGUUUUGAAGUAAAAUGGCACAUUCGGAACAAAUUCAAACGUUGAGUGCAAAAUUUACUUCAAAAUUGAGCAGUGAAAUUGUGCCUGGGAAUUUAAUAUGUGCUUACAGAAAUAGAGGUAUUACUACCCCCCCCCAUUUCUUCUAUUCAGCAUGAUACAAAAAUUAUUGCAGUUGUCUACCACAUGAGCAGCUAUGUUGUGUAGUGUCUGGGGGGAAAAAACACCUACUUAUUGUUUAGCCAAGUUCUUUGGUGCAACAUGGUUACCAGAUCAUGGAAGCAUCCCAGAGGGCUGCUUGUCUAGCUCUGUGAAUGUAGGGGUGUACAAAUGCUUUUGAAAUGUGCAGCAGCUUUUGAACCAUUGCAAAGGUUUCACAAAGAAGUCUGCAAAGUAACAUGGGAGUCUGCUUUCCCCUAGUGCUCACCUACAAACCCCACAAAACAACUGCCCAUAAGCAGUCUCUUGGAUGCAGCCCAAGUAAUCCUUAAGAAGUUGCUUUAUUACAGAAAAAAGAAACAUGCAUUCCAAACUACCUGAAAGAUAAACCCAUUGAACAACAAUGAAUAAGCCUAAUAGCGAAGCAUGUCUAAUAUAUAAAAUGAAAGUGGAGCCCAUCUAUCUUGCUAUAGAAAAAGAGAAAAUUACUGGAACUGGAUAAACUACAGUUAGGAAAGUUCGCCCAGUUGUAUUAGCCUCCGCCCUUUGUAAAUGCGGGUCAGAUUUUCAAACACCAUCCACCAAUUGAAACAAAAAUUGGAGUCAUGCCCUCUCUGACCAGCUUGUCAAAGCUUUAAGAAAUUCUGCUGAACUAUGCAGGCCUUUGCCAGACUCAAAAGUAAUCAUAUGUACUACAAGGGCACCAAGGGACACAAAUAGACAAACUGAAAAAGUGUUCCGUGUGGCUCAGGUGUCAGCCUGGGAGAUGAAACCACAAUGCCCUUUAAAACAUUAGUCUGGGGUGGUGGGAGGUGCAGUGCUGUAGGUACAUCCCACAAUGCUAGUUUAACGUUUACAGAACUGUAACCAUGCUGACAGAGUCUUUUUUGCGGAGUUGGUCUCAGAGUGGGGGAUAGACUUGAUUUCUUGCAGCCAAACAGAGGCGAAAUCAAAUGGAUCAGUAGAAAAAGCUACGUUGGAGAAUGAACUCUCAAGCUGAAAAUAAAUGGCAUGCCCUCAAACACUUCGUAGACAAAGCCUGGGAUGUUGUUGCGUGCUUGUAGUUCCUCUAACUCACGCCAAGGAUCACUGCCUGAAUGCCUUCCCAUCUCCCCAUCUCAAAAACAAAAUCAGAAUAUAAAAACGUAAACACAGACAAAUCUAACAAAAGACAGCAUAUCACAUCUACCAACGAUAAUUUAGGUACAUCAUAGCCACAUAUAUAUAUAAUGUUAAGAACUCAUUGUCUCACAUUUUCAUCGAGUUCUGUUCUGUUCCAGGAUCUAAAAAUAAAAACACAUUUCCCAAGGAAUCUCUGUAUGUAUUGGUGAAGGCUCAUUACCUGCUGUGCACAGUAGUGCAGUUAGGUAAUUUUAGACUCAGCCUAGACUUAAUGGUCUUAUGAGGAGUCCCCUCGUUAGAGGUUAAUAUGUUUUGCUUCCACAUGGGGUGAGUCAGCCUCGCUGCAUAUGGAGGGCCCUCUUCAUUCUGCUGAAUGGGGCACUGGAUUUUUGCCCUGAAGUCCUGCCCUGAAAUCACUGCUAGCUGUAUAUUGCAUUUGCUGGCUCCAAAGUUGCCCAUCCUGCAUUGGCUGAAAGCUACAACAACUGAAGAAUGUCAGUAGAAUGUUUAAUCAUUCUAUACCUCUGGGUAUGGGGUGGUAUAUAAAUUCAAUAAAUAAUAAUGAUAAUAAUAGGCCCAAAUUCUAUUGUGCCACUGGGAGCCCUCACCUCCCUUGUGUACAGAUGUUGUGUGUGCUUCAUUCAAUAAUGCCAGCCUGUUUAGUGUGUUCUGAAAAAGAGGCACAGGUACACCUGGUGAGAGGAGUGGUCCAUGAGGUGAUAUGGUUGAUGAUACCUUCCUACACUGCUUGUCCUGCCUUUCUUCUUUGCACUGCCAUGUUCAUGUCCUUUUGCCUAGUACUUUUUAACAGCUGAGAUUCACUGAUCACAUGUGACAGUACGUUGCCUUCCCCAGGUGUGAUGGCAGCUUCCACUUGGCCAAAGAGAAUCUCAAAGCAAUAGCUCUUUCUAAUGACCGACCAAGAGACCACCAGAAAUCGGAAUGUGGUUCUGGGCAUCCUCCUAGCCCAGGCACUGUGAGGGAGGAACUCUCCUCUCUUCCUCCUGCUUUCAUUUUCUUCAUUGCCAUUGAGGAGAGCAUACCCUUCUGGCUUCGACAAAGAAAAUGAGUUGCCUCGAUUCGGUCACUAAAGAAGACUUCAGCCAUUUUUUGAGAGCAGCUCAUGUGAUGCAGGGAGAUGCUUUUUGGGAUGUUGGCUUGCACUUUUCUCCUGUUCAUUGAGCUAAAUAUGAUGGCCUGGGAUUCGGACUCAGAGGCUGAACCUGAGGAAUCCCAGCCUACACAGAAGUCCCCACUUCCAGAACCAGCUGAGCUGGGGCUGGGGCCUGAGCCUGAAGGGUCCUCACCUGUGCUGGAUCCUCAGGUGCAGGCACCAGAUGAGUCUGCUCUAGCCCCAGAGGUGAUGGAGGACCCAUUGCCUGCAGGUGCUCCGCUCUCGGCCCAGGGGAAGAGGAGGUUGCCUCUGGGUCUGGUAACCCUCCAGCCUUUCCUGAGCUGCAGAAGCUCAGGGCAGAGAGGCGGAGGGAACUAAGUUCCCACAGGAGGAGUGCUCCAUGUUUGCUUAGUACGGUAUGUGAACCUGGUCUGGGACCGUAAUAAAUUUCAUUUGUACAACCAGAUAACUUUAACCAUACCAAAUUAUUGUGGAUUUGAAGGCACAGCAAUCUUAAGCACACUCAGUAGGGAGCAAGUCCAGUAGAACCCCAUGGAACUUAUGCCUCAGAAAACAUAUGUAGUAUCUUUCUAGUAGGCUGAAUCCCUACAUCAGGAAGGUGCCACUCGCUUUGGCUUACAUUGUGGGAUUGUAAUUGGGAAUAUCGCUGUACAUUAGAUCACUUACAAUAUUGACACUCAUCCUUUCACAAUCACAUACCCUGCAAAUGUUCCAGAAAAAUCAGGACCAUUCCAUUUUUUAUCAUGAAAAAAUGGCAGCUGUUUUAGUUGCCCUGAUCUCACACGAUUUUGUGGCGCGCUUUCCCCCAUAAAAAGUGUUAUUUUGGGUUGCGAUGCUGCAUGGUAUACCCAAAAUGUGUGUUUUGGGGCACUGUGCCUGGAAAAACACUUUUUCGGGGGGGGGCACGGAGCAUAACUGCACAAGAUCAUGGCAACCAAGAUGGCUGCCGUGCUCUCGUGAUAAAAAUGGGAAGAUGGUGCCCAGAAAGAUGGCAUCCUGGAUUUUGUCUUCAAGGUGUUGGAGGGUAUGCAGUCACACUUUCCAAGGCAGUUUACCACAGAUAAGUGGAGCCGUAGUUAGCAAGACUCUCCCUUCCCCCUAUUUGAAAGCACCAUGUAGGCUGGCCAUGAGAGGGCACCAUAGACUUAACUAUGUCCUUUGAAUGGGAAAAAGAAAUGGUAAAUGAAAGGAGACAAACAAACCAUCCAUAAUUAAAGCAGGGUGGGGAGAAAACAGGGUUUAGGUAUUCCAUUUUUAAGAAUUGACAGUAGUGUUUGGGUAGAUUGGAGGCAGGGAAGAUUUGUCUGGGUGAGUGUUCGCUUGCAUUUUCUUUUCUCAUUGACGCUUCUCUGCGUGGGAAGACAGCCACAAAUAAAACAUUAUCGCCCUCACCCCUUCUCAGGCUGUCAGUUUGCUUCUCCCACUGCUUGAUCCCAGAUUCCAUGGUCUAUGGUGACACAACCAUUAUGUUUCCAAGGUUCACAAAAUAAUAAAUGCUGUGCACCUCUAAUGUGCCACAUGCAAACAGUAUUUAUGGGUGCAUUAUCAAGAGACAAUAUGACUUUUGUUAUUCCUUAACACGCUUUAGCUAGCCGGUUGACUCAUACUUAUACUUUGAAAUUUAAUUAGAUAAAAGCUUGUGUUUUCCCUCCCUUUCUCAUGGCAUCAUAGCAUUGUAGAGUUGGAAGGGAUCGCGAGGGUCAUCCAGUCCAGCCCCUUGCAUUGCAGGUAUCUCAACAUGAGGUCUCCCAUCCAAUUUGAAACCGUACCAGACCCUGCUUUGCUUUGCAAAUGUGCUAGCAGUUUCAUUGCUGCAUUUACAUAUUCAGAGUGUGCUUUUUAUGAGAGCCCAUUUCUGUUUUACAUUUUGCUUGCUUUUUUCCUGGCCACGUGUUGGAAGCCCUUUGUGGGGAAAAUCUGGGCGCCCUUUUCGAUGAUGCUCUACAUCUGUAUUGCCACUUCAGCCUGGGCAAUUAGUAUACUUGAGAGAGAUGUGAAGCUUUAUACUGAAGUGUAUGCAACAGCUUUUUGGCCGUGGUAGGAAAGCCUGGGAACCAGAAUUCACUAGAUGCUUGUGCUGUAGUGAUCAGACACCCCAUCCCAUCUGAACCUAGCUGUGCAUUAGGGUUUAUUUGCCACCCACCUGUUUCUACCUGCAAGGAACUCUUUCUACCUUGUCUGUUAAGGAACCCCUGUGAAAUGCAGAGGAUCAUGGGACCUAUUAUUUCACCGGAACAGGUCUGUUUCUGGGUGUGAGUGGGUUCUCAGGUGGGCCUCCCACCUUGGUGCCCCUUUCCUUACCUGGUAAUGGCAGGUAGGCAGCAACAGCUGUCAUGUUCCAAGGGCUGCAAUGAUGGCAGCCCUCCACGGCGAACCUUUCUGAAGGGGGUACUCAACUAGGUUUUAUGCAAAGUGGACCCAUUGAAAUUAAUGGCCAUGGCUACAUUAAGUCCAUUAAUUUCAAGGGGUUUACACUGAGUAAAACUGAGUUGAAUGCCACUCUAUAUACACCAGCACUGCUGAUACCACUUUGUCCACUUGGCUUUCUAAAGCCAAUCUGUUUAUCUGGUAGGUGGGUGGUUCUUUGCUAGAGAGAGCACUGAGAAAAAUUGCUCAGAGCAUUUUAUUGUUUCAAAAAGUGAUGCAUUUAGAAGUACAUACCUCCUCAAGGUUAGCGGUGGCUUGGAAGCUACAUAAAGAUGGUAGAAAUCCAAAAUAUACACUGUGGAGUAUUUUUCUUUGGACUACACUGUUUAUAUAAAUUGAGUGCAUCUAUUUAAAUAGAGUUUUCUUGUUUAAAUCAAAAGUUCUCAGGUACAUUCCUCACCACCCAUGUUAUUUUAUUUAUUAAAUCUAUAUACCGCUGCUUCAUCCAAGGGUGUUUUACAAUUGCUGUUGCUGAUACUGCAACUGAUGCCACUGAUAAAUUGGGUAGACGGCUGGUGGGCCACUCUAGAAAUUCUUGAAGGCCAUUUCCCCACCCCCUGAUGUAGGGUGCAGAAUUUAAACCAAUCUGAGACCAAACUGGCAUAAUUAGCACUAGUUAAGUCAGAACUACUCAUCCACUUCUCUGUUCAUUUUUGUUUCUCAGAAUUCUGGUUAGAAUAGUUGCUCACUGUCAGUAAAUAUUUGAAUUGAAUUACCCUAUAGUCCAGGCAUAGGCAAACUCAGCCCUCCAGAUGUUUUGAGACUACAUUUCCCAUCAUCCCUGACCACAGGUCCUGUUAGCUAGGGAUGAUGGGAGUUGUAGUCCCAAAACAUCUGGAGGGCCGAGUUUGCCUAUGCCUGCUUUAGUCAGUAUUGUGAUGAUAUCACCCUUUCUGUAUGAUAUGUGAUUGGUUCUACCAUGUGAUUUUUUUUUUUAAAAAAAAUUACUCAUCCUCAGUGAUUUCCUGUUUGCAGGCUUCCCAUUGGCAUGUGAUUCACCCCUGUCAGAACAGGAUAUGUCAGUGUGAUAACAUAAUGACAUCCAUCCGGUAUCUAGUACCUGAGUGACUUGUACACUCCAUGAUAAACAUAGAACCUAAUGAGAACUGUUGCCUAAAAAUGACACCAAGAGGUAUCAAUUCAAACAUUGACAAUUUCAGAAGGUUUGACAAAGGUUUCAGCCCACCCACCCACCAUCUGCAAAAAGAGCAAGCCUUAAGAAGGAAAACCUCUGAAAAUCCUGAAUUCUGAAAAUUCAGUACCAUAGCUAGGAUAACUGCCUAAUUCCCUAAAAUGGCAAAAUACUACAAUAUGUGGGUUACAAUUUUAAUACAGAUUACUAAUUGUAAGUACAGUAGUGGUAGUAAUUCCAGGCCAGUUAAUCCAGAAUGAAAUGUCAUGAUCAUGUAUAUGUCAUGUACUUGGUCUAGGAUUAAGAUUUUUAUUUCUUCCAGCCUAACAUCCUCUCUAUUUAAGAAGGUCUCCCCUCCAUCUUCCUUUCCACAUAUGCAGUACCUGACUGUUUUUAUAUAAAUGUCACAGCCGAGGGGGGCUUUGGCUAUGUCAUAAACUCUGAAUAAAAUUCUUUUUGUGCUGCUUCAGCAUUCUUGCGUUUGAGCCAGAGAGCUGUUUAGUUUAGAGAAAGGAAGUUAUGUGAAAAUAUAAAAUCAAGGUGAGCGAAUAAGGUAGAUUACCAGUGAAAGCAGUGUUUCUUAACCUUUUAUUGGCUCACAGGAACCUUUGAAAAUCUGAUGAAAGCUAUGGACCCCAGAAACCCCCCCAUACAAUUUUCAAAGCAAUGGGAAGGAAAUAGAAUACAUCUGUCUGUCUGUCGGUCUAUCUAUAUCUCAAGGUUAAAGGCAACUGAAUAUGAGAUACUAACCUUUUGCUGGGUGAAUGAUCUGGAGAUGUGAGGAUAAAACUACAUUGGCAACUCAAGUACCUUGCCAAAUAAGGAGUUGUGAUAAAAGUCAGCACAAUCAAUUGGUUAGGGCAUUGACCCGAUGUCUAGAAGUGUCAUCUUGUAUAAGUUAUUUCCCCUAAGCAUCAGUUGUGCUCAUCUGUAAAAUGGGAAUUGAGGUGUUCUUCUUCAUGGGCUUGUUAUGAAAAGCAAAUAAAAAAAUAAUGCUAUAUUUUUAUCCUACUUUUCAGACAAUGACAGCCUCUCAAAAUGACUCUCAUCAAUUGAAAGAGAGAAGGGUACUGCCACAAGGGUUAUAUAAAGAGACACAAAGGAAGAGAAGAGGUAGAGGAGAGUGGUCAGUCCUUCAAGGGCAGAACAAAAUGGUGAGUUACAUGGGAGUUAAUGUCCAGUUGCAUCCAGGCUCAAUUUCCCUCGUGAUGUUCUUGCUUGAAGAGCAGUUGGUGGCUUUAAUAGCAGUUGGUGCUGUUCCAGAGGUGUUCAACUGGCAGUUGGAGUCAAGUGUUCUUGGAAUCAAGACAAGGAGGAGGGCUCUUGGAAUCAAGACAGCUCCUCCCAAUGAAUGGGGCCAGGUUGAUCUCUCAUUUGCCAUGAUAUUUGUAAGCCGGAUGGCAGGAGGAGACUUCCAAGGAUUCCUUGGCUCAAGGCAAAGGUCAGAGUAUGCUAUCUUCAAAGCUGCUUCUUCUUCUUCUUCUUCUUCUUCUUCUUCUUCUUCUUCUUCUUCUUCUCUACAGAAGUCUGUGUCACCAACAAAUAAACCACUUGAAAGUUCACAGUAGGUAGAAUCUGCCUGCGAUUCUACAAUGGCUCCCAGGUGACCUUUAGAGAGGGGUCAGAAGCCACUUGCUCGGUGGGGUGAAGCCACAUCAAUAAUCUCCAGGCAGCAACAUCACUAGCACUUAGGAGAGGGGUGAGACAGUAGCAACAAUGGAGCUGUGUGGGCCCCCCAUUGGGAGCACUGGAUUGGCACUACCAGUCUGCCCAUGCAACCCCAACUUGGCCACCAUCUUCCCCUUUCCUCUCCCAGUAAGUGGCAGUGACACUGCUGCUGAGUGCCUACUGCUUUGGCUGUGCCCCAUUGGGCAAGCUGUCCCUGCUGAGGGUCACCAAUACAUUGGGUUGAAUCCAGACUAAUUUAGUUGCACUGAGAUUCCAUGGAUUUCAAAGCACAAGUCAUAACUAGGUUGUCCUGUUGCAUCUAACUUAGUCUAGAUCUGGCCCAUUGACUUUUGGAUGACCUGGAGAAUAUAUUGGCUAGGUAGCUAUUUUGUGUCUUGGAGAUGCUAACCCCCCACCCCUAUGCUUGAAGAUCCUGUAACAUAAAUCUUCUCCAAUGACAUUUACAAGCUUUACUAUCUAAGGCUGCCUAGUGGCUUCUUGCUUGAUAAGAGCGAGCUGACACACAUACCUUCAGUUGCUAUGUUACACCAACUUUCACUUGAGACAGCUGCACUUGGCUAUGCAACUAUGCUGUGUCCAGCUUGAAGGCUGUGUUGUUCACCUAUAUGCAAAAGAUCUGCUUAAUAAUAAUAAUACUAGUAAUUCAUUACAAAAGCACAAUGAGUUUAGAGGAUUUAUACAGGCUUCUCUAACAUUUGACAUAAAUAGACAUAAAUAAAUAGACAUAAAUAGGGCACCUGUACACUAUUUCCUGAAUUCAAUAGGUAAUUCUUGUAUAUUUACAGAGUCCCAAGAGCUUAGCCUUCUGUCUGUGAAAGUGGUAUGUAAACAGCUGGUCCGACGAAACUUCAUGUGCUAUGCAGUGAUAGCAACCACGCCAAGAGUAAUACAUUCUGAACUUUUGCUCUAGAAAACAACAAUUCUGCUCUUAUUUGAAGAAAGGGGAAUUAUAAGGCAAAGGCCUAGACACCAAGUUUACCAAAUGCUGAGUGACAACAUUAAAACAGCAGGUAACAAGAGACCUUUAAGUCAAAGAUUUGGCUGGCUAUUUCAAAUCAAUAUGUGAGCUUCAUCUUUCAUCCCUUCUACAGAUCCCUAGGCUUGUGCAGGUCUCUUUUCUGCCCCCACUCUCUUUCAGCUUUCCUUCUUUCCUCUGAAAUUAUUUUCCAGUUGUGUGCUUAGUUAAUUUCAGACUCUGCAUUUAAUAGUCUUGGAGGGACGCCCCCUCCUGCUGUGUGGUAGGUCAGUCCUGCCAUGUUUGGUGGCCCCAUCCUAUUCAUUCUACCCCAACCAAUUGCCCUGACAGCAGCUCUGUAGAUCUUCCUUUUGAUUUUCGAAUCUAGACUGCUGCAAUUUUGCAGACCACUCUCUUUCCCUAGAUACCUCUGCUUCUUCUGUUGAUUCUUCCUGCCUUGCUUUUCUGUAGGAUCAAGCUGUCCAGGCAAUGAUAGCUGGAUACACUUCUGCCUACUUUUCCAACCUGUGACAUUAGGAUAGCUCAUCCAAUCCCUAUCAGAGGCUUCCCUACUGUAACCACCACAACUAACAUAAAAGCAUUCCGUUGAAUUCAUCUCAGACAAGCAUGUACCAUAAAAAAAAAAAAUCAAAGGGAGAGGGGUGGGGCAAGAAGGGAAGAUGUUUCUUUCUUUUACCUUCUCUCUUUACACCCCUCCAAUUCCUGUCAAUGGGAACAACCCAUGGAGCUCCCUUGUUCAAGGAAGUCAUCACCAGUCUCAAGCAGAGAGGUUGUUGUGAGUCUCCCCAAAUUCCACUCCACUCAAUGGAGUUGAUGUGCAAGAGGAGCCAACAGGGACUUUGCUGCCCACAAGCAAACUGGAACAAGGUGUAAGGAAAUAGGCAUGCAUGUAUGUUUGCAAAUAAAAAGAAGAAAAUACUCCACCAGUGGGUGUCUUCAUGCUGCCAGUGAGCAUUAGAAGCAUCUACAGAAGUCUAGUGUUCCAAACAUGGGAAGUAAUAGUAUUGCUCUAUUCUGCCUUGGUCAGACCACACUUGAAGUACUGUGUCCAGUUCUGGCUUCCAUGAUUUAAGAAGGACAUUGAGAAGCUGGAACAUGUGCAGAGGAGGGUGACCAAGAUGCUCAAGGAUCUGCAAACCAAACCCUAUGAGGAACGGUUGAAGGAGCUGGGUAUGUUUAGCCUGGAAAAUAGGUGACUGAGGAGAUAUCUGAAGUAUCUGAAGGGUGUCACAUAGGAGAUGGAGCAAGCUUGUUUUCUUCUCUAGAUAGUAGGGACCAGACCCAUGGCUUUGCAUUACAAAAUAGGAGAUUAAACACCAGGAAGAACUUUCUGACAGUAAAAGCUGUUGACAGUGGUAUGGACUCCUUCAAGAAGUAGUGGAGUCUCCUUCCUUGGAGGUUUUUAAGCAGAAGUUGGAUGGCCAUCUGUCAUGGAUGCUUUAGUUGAGAUUCUUGCAUUACAGGUCUCUUCCAGUUCUACAAUUCUAUGAUUCUAGGAAAUGUACCAAAAUGCCUAUAAUAAUGUGUAUUCUAGGAAAAAUCCAUUUUAGAAAUGUGUAAUUUGAGAGAAAUUUUGUUUAGAAAUGUAUAUUUGUCAGCAAAUGUAAAUAUAAAUUUUCAUGAGCUUUUGGUUUUUUUUAAAGAAAAUAACAGAUUAAAGCAGAAAUGGAAUGGGACAGAAUUACAAAUGAACACCCGUGAACCUGACAGAGAGUGAUCCACUCAUUCCAAUGCUGAGUUAAUCUGACAAUUAACACAAAGCGUUUUUGGUGGUGUAAACUGACUGUUGAGUUUUGCCAAGGAAGCUUUUGCCAAAAAGAAAAAAGAAAGACCUUGACCAGAAUAAUCAUUUAGAGAAUUUUGCCCUUUUCUGUUACCUUGAAUCAUGAUCAGUAAAUGUCCACCUCUUAAAACAAACAA